RNAcentral lists this ribosomal RNA (800 nucleotides) under uncultured bacterium. RNAcentral describes it as "bacterial SSU rRNA". It matches the Rfam family "Bacterial small subunit ribosomal RNA", at positions 39 to 811 of the family's 1533-position model. The record is from RNAcentral.
GCGGCGUGCUUAACACAUGCAAGUCGCACGAGAACGCUUCAGCUUGCUGAAGUUAGUAAAGUGGCGCACGGGUGAGUAACGCGUGGGUAAUCUACCCCCGAAUUGGGGAUAACAUUGCGAAAGCGAUGCUAAUACCGAAUGAUAUCUUAAGAACCUCGGUUUUUAAGAUCAAAGGUGGCCUCUACAUGAAAGCUUCUGUUUGGGGAUGAGCCCGCGUACCAUUAGCUUGUUGGUAGGGUAAUGGCCUACCAAGGCUACGAUGGUUAGCUGGUCUGAGAGGAUGAUCAGCCACACUGGAACUGACACACGGUCCAGACUCCUACGGGAGGCAGCAGUGAGGAAUUUUGCGCAAUGGGGGAAACCCUGACGCAGCAACGCCGCGUGAGUGAUGAAGGCUUUCGGGUCGUAAAGCUCUGUCAAGUGGGAAGAACCCACAUGGUGAUAAUACCGCCAUGUGUUGACGGUACCACUGAAGGAAGCACCGGCUAACUCCGUGCCAGCAGCCGCGGUAAUACGGGGGGUGCAAGCGUUAUUCGGAAUUACUGGGCGUAAAGAGCGCGUAGGCGGUCUUUUAAGUCAGGUGUGAAAGCCCGGGGCUCAACCCCGGAAGUGCACUUGAAACUAAGGGACUUGAGUAUGGGAGAGGGAAGUGGAAUUCCUGGUGUAGCGGUGAAAUGCGUAGAUAUCAGGAGGAACACCGGUGGCGAAGGCGACUUCCUGGACCAAUACUGACGCUGAGGCGCGAAGGCGUGGGGAGCAAACAGGAUUAGAUACCCUGGUAGUCCACGCAGUAAACGGUG